CUGCAAUCGUGCUUCAACAGUAAGGAAAGCCAGCUGUUUAAGGAUUGGCAAGCAGAUGGAAAACAGAGAUUUGGAGUAAAGAGGUCGUUCUCAAAAUAGAAGAUAUUUAUUCUACGUGUACAAGACAAAACAAGCUCAUGGACCUUUAACUCCAGAUCACACAGGAUAUUGCUAUGCUUGUUCUUCAUUUGAUGAAAGAAAUCAGCAACACUUGGAUAGAAUCGUAAAUUAUUGUUCAAAUGAACUUGAAGCAGAGUUCUGUAAUUGUCUUUUACUGAAGGACAAUUAUUGUGAUGCUGAACAGAAG
Stegostoma tigrinum is the source of this 307-nucleotide long non-coding RNA. RefSeq lists it as uncharacterized. Lineage: Eukaryota; Metazoa; Chordata; Chondrichthyes; Orectolobiformes; Stegostomatidae. The transcript is spliced from 4 exons. The record is from RefSeq and is a predicted model, not a curated record.